UGGGGAAUCUUGCGCAAUGGGCGAAAGCCUGACGCAGCCAUGCCGCGUGAAUGAUGAAGGUCUUAGGAUUGUAAAAUUCUUUCACCGGGGACGAUAAUGACGGUACCCGGAGAAGAAGCCCCGGCUAACUUCGUGCCAGCAGCCGCGGUAAUACGAAGGGGGCUAGCGUUGCUCGGAAUUACUGGGCGUAAAGGGCGCGUAGGCGGACAUUUAAGUCAGGGGUGAAAUCCCAGAGCUCAACUCUGGAACUGCCUUUGAUACUGGGUGUCUUGAGUGUGAGAGAGGUAUGUGGAACUCCGAGUGUAGAGGUGAAAUUCGUAGAUAUUCGGAAGAACACCAGUGGCGAAGGCGACAUACUGGCUCAUUACUGACGCUGAGGCGCGAAAGCGUGGGGAGCAAACAGGAUUAGAUACCCCAGUAGUCCCUGAGCGGGCUGGCAAGGCGCAU
This 447-nucleotide ribosomal RNA is filed under the name uncultured bacterium. RNAcentral describes it as "bacterial SSU rRNA". It matches the Rfam family "Bacterial small subunit ribosomal RNA", at positions 355 to 825 of the family's 1533-position model. The record is from RNAcentral.